This 460-nucleotide ribosomal RNA is filed under the name uncultured bacterium. RNAcentral describes it as "partial 16S ribosomal RNA". It matches the Rfam family "Bacterial small subunit ribosomal RNA", at positions 338 to 795 of the family's 1533-position model. The record is from RNAcentral.
CCUACGGGAGGCUGCAGUGAGGAAUAUUGGUCAAUGGCCGUAAGGCUGAACCAGCCAAGUAGCGUGAGGGAAGACUGCCCUAUGGGUUGUAAACCUCUUUUAUGCGGGGAUAAAGGUGUCCACGUGUGGAUGUUUGCAGGUACCGCAUGAAUAAGGACCGGCUAAUUCCGUGCCAGCAGCCGCGGUAAUACGGAGGAUCCGAGCGUUAUCCGGAUUUAUUGGGUUUAAAGGGAGCGUAGAUGGUUUGUUAAGUCAGUUGUGAAAGUUUGCGGCUCAACCGUAAAAUUGCAAUUGAUACUGGCAGUCUUGAGUACAGUUGAGGUAGGCGGAAUUCGUGGUGUAGCGUUGAAAUGCUUAGAUAUCACGAAGAACCCCGAUUGCGAAGGCAGCUUACAAAACUGUGAAUGACAUUGAUGCUCGAAAGUGUGGGUAUCAAACAGGAUUAGAGACCCCAGUAGUC